AGCUCCAGUAGCGUAUACUAAAGUUGUUGCAGUUAAAAAGCUCGUAGUUGGAUUUCUGGCUUGGCGUCGCGUCUCGGCCCCUUGAGGGUUUGGUGACUGCGAAACGUUGAGUCAUCCUGGCACAAUCUCUUCCUGGGAUUAACUUCUUGGGUUGAGGGACUGCCUCGUUUACUUUGAGAAAAUUAGAGUGUUCAAAGCAGGCAUUUCGCCUUGAAUACGUUAGCAUGGAAUAAUAAUAUAGGACUCUGGUUCUAUUUUGUUGGUUAUGAGAGCCGGAGUAAUGAUUGAUAGGGACAGUUGGGGGCAUUAGUAUUCUCAAGCGAGAGGUGAAAUUCUUGGACCUUGGGAAGACUAACAACUGCGAAAGCAUUUGCCAAGGAUGUUCCCUUUAAUCAAGAAC
Molecule: ribosomal RNA, 400 nt
Filed under: phytoplankton environmental sample
Lineage: Eukaryota
Description: partial small subunit ribosomal RNA
Rfam family: Eukaryotic small subunit ribosomal RNA
Source: RNAcentral